RNAcentral lists this ribosomal RNA (749 nucleotides) under uncultured beta proteobacterium. RNAcentral's name for it is "bacterial SSU rRNA". It matches the Rfam family "Bacterial small subunit ribosomal RNA", at positions 28 to 775 of the family's 1533-position model. Lineage: Bacteria; Pseudomonadati; Pseudomonadota; Betaproteobacteria. The record is from RNAcentral.
AUUGAACGCUGGCGGCAUGCCUUACACAUGCAAGUCGAACGGUAACGCGGGGCAACCUGGCGACGAGUGGCGAACGGGUGAGUAAUGUAUCGGAACGUGCCCAGUAGUGGGGGAUAGCCCGGCGAAAGCCGGAUUAAUACCGCAUACGACCUACGGGUGAAAGCGGGGGAUCGCAAGACCUCGCGCUAUUGGAGCGGCCGAUAUCAGAUUAGGUAGUUGGUGGGGUAAAGGCCCACCAAGCCUACGAUCUGUAGCUGGUCUGAGAGGACGACCAGCCACACUGGGACUGAGACACGGCCCAGACUCCUACGGGAGGCAGCAGUGGGGAAUUUUGGACAAUGGGCGCAAGCCUGAUCCAGCCAUGCCGCGUGCGGGAAGAAGGCCUUCGGGUUGUAAACCGCUUUUGUCAGGGAAGAAACGCUCUGGGCUAAUACCCCGGGGUAAUGACGGUACCUGAAGAAUAAGCACCGGCUAACUACGUGCCAGCAGCCGCGGUAAUACGUAGGGUGCAAGCGUUAAUCGGAAUUACUGGGCGUAAAGCGUGCGCAGGCGGUCUUGCAAGACAGAUGUGAAAUCCCCGGGCUCAACCUGGGAACUGCAUUUGUGACUGCAAGGCUGGAGUGCGGCAGAGGGGGAUGGAAUUCCGCGUGUAGCAGUGAAAUGCGUAGAUAUGCGGAGGAACACCGAUGGCGAAGGCAAUCCCCUGGGCCUGCACUGACGCUCAUGCACGAAAGCGUGGGAGCAAACAG